Long non-coding RNA from Amphiprion ocellaris (clown anemonefish), 609 nucleotides. NCBI's taxonomy places the organism in Eukaryota, Metazoa, Chordata, Actinopteri, Pomacentridae. The record is from Ensembl.
CGCAAGAACCGCGCGAUACACGAACAGACAAAGAAGUCGUCUUUGUUACAUGAGUUUCUACAAUGGCGGCCCGGUAUUACCAGUCCGACUCACCACAAACUCCUCGCAUAGAACAGCCUGGACAUGACCGACUGGUUCCAGUCAGACCCGCGACAGACACUGAGAAGAAACUGUUGAGUGUUAUCAGCGGGCUGUCUGGCCAGAGAGCACCGCCAGAGGAGAAGCUCUAGCAGAAGUUGGAGCGGUGUCAGAGCUGCAGGAGGGGAUGGCCGCCAUGGAAGCCAAAUUAAACACUUUCUCCAGCGGCGAGGAAAUUCAGCGGAAAAGAGGAGAGCACAGUCCUAAAAUUGCGACUGGGCUUGCCUCACAAUGAGGCAGUCAGGACAUAUUUAGUUAAAAUUUUAGCUGAAGUCCAGAUGUGGAGGAUGUGGAGACAGACGUCCUUCUAUAAUAUUUGGCUUCAGGGUUGAAGGUAACGAUUGACCAACUUCCUGGUUAUCAGCAGCAAAUCGACCUCCUUUCUUCUGCCUGAGCUCUGCUUCCUCUCUGGCCGCUUAUCACAUAACAACACCUGCAGUCCUGAUGUUUACACUGGAUGAGGCUAAUGGC